Long non-coding RNA from Mustela erminea (ermine), 207 nucleotides. RefSeq lists it as uncharacterized. The transcript is spliced from 3 exons. Lineage: Eukaryota; Metazoa; Chordata; Mammalia; Carnivora; Mustelidae. The record is from RefSeq and is a predicted model, not a curated record.
GUUUCUUGUUGUUUUUCCAGCUCCUUUAGAUGUAAGUUUAGAUUGUUUAGUUGACGUUUUUCUUGCUUCUUGAACUAGGCCUGUAUUGGUAUAAACUUUCCCCUUGGAACCAGUUUUGCUGAAUCCCAAAUUUUUUGAACUGUUGUGUUUUCAUUUUCAUUUGUUUCCAUGAAUUUUUAAAAAGAUUUUAUUAUUUAUUUGAGAGAG